Musa acuminata AAA Group (dessert banana) is the source of this 3641-nucleotide long non-coding RNA. RefSeq lists it as uncharacterized. The record is from RefSeq and is a predicted model, not a curated record. NCBI's taxonomy places the organism in Eukaryota, Viridiplantae, Streptophyta, Magnoliopsida, Zingiberales, Musaceae. The transcript has 4 exons.
AUUUAAUCAUUAGGGGCAAGAAAAACCACAGAUUGUGUUUUGAAUUGACAUCAGAACAUUAAUUUUCUUGAAACAAUGGAUGGAGGCUUUAUGUGAAAGAUACAAGUUAUGUGGUGGUGGAAACUCUACUUACAUGUUUGUGGUGGAUGUAAUUUUAGAAUGUCCAUGUAAAUUGUUGAUUUGAAGCGACUCUUCAUGAAACGUCAUACCAUAUUGAGGCCUUGUGAUGUUAAGUCGCUUUGGAGUUAAUUUUGAGGAAUUACAUCAUUUUAGAGUUUCUGAAACAUGUCAGAAGAUGGACGUGGCACCACAUUUUACAAUGAUGCAUGUUUAGUUUAGAUUGCACCAACUCUCAGUGGAGGUAUUCAGCUUAUCGUGAUGGAUGGUCACAACAGAAAGACUUCAUUUUCUUGUAACUCACUCACCAUUUUUGAGUUUCCUGAAACUUGCCAGAAGAUGUUCAUGGCACCACAUCUGGUGAUUCAUUUUCUCUCUUCACAGUGAGCUUCAUAAGUUUUCCCUGAACCAUAUUGUUCUUCUUGGCACUAUGACAUUGCAUUCUGAUGGCAGUAAUCUAGCAAAGUUCUAUUAUAUUUCUAGUGUUGGCCUUGGAAUUUGUGACAUUGUGAGAAGUAGCAAUUCAGUUCAUGCAUCAUAAAACAGUAAUUCGAAGAUCAAGUCAGAUUAUGUGGCAACUCAAAAGGGUUACAAGUGCCACUUAACUUUGUGAAGCCAUGUACUAUGUCGGCAGAUGGUUAUCACAGAACUUCAAUCCCAGCCCUUUUGGAUGAACUGUUGCUCAAUGAAAACCAUGUGGUCUGAUCUUUGUGAAGAUCUAUCUAUCCAUCCAUGAUGAAUGUCUGCAUGAUGUAGAAUAACUCAGAUGUCAAACUUCGUGGUGGGUAUCAUGACUCAAUGAUUGAUGCAGAGGAAGAAUGGGACAUCACCUCUUUGUCACAGGGUCUGUUGCUAAGGUUGUCAUGGUUAUCAGGAAGAGCCGAGGGUUUACAGCAUUCAAAUGCGACAUUUGAGUUCUCUGUACUGACUGAGCACACAGGAUACAGCACCUUAGAGCUUUUACCAUAUUAACAGUUUAUGUUCCCUUCUGUCUUCCCCUCACUGGACAAAGAAGCUAGGGGAAAGAACAUCUUAAAUGCCAUAGGUCUGGAACCUGAUCCACAUAUUGGUUGGUUGGUUCUUUUAUUUUUAACCUCCAUCACUAAAUAGCUCGAGUCCCCGAUGCUCUGUACAAUAAUUAGGGAUAUCUUCCAUUCCUUGGUUAGCUCACCUCUCAUGUCCCAUCUCAUGGUCCCUCAAAGUGAAUUGGUCCACAUAAUUGAAAGGUUCUAUGGCCUAAGGAUUAGCCCACUGCUUCAUUAGUGCUUCUGUUAUCAUUCAAAAGGAUACUGCAUAACCUGAUCGAGAUUUGUAGAUUGGUGUAAUUGUUUUCUCCUUCAUUUUUGGUGUGAGACGAAUAUGGUGGCAAGACUCUCCUUUAGCUCUUUGUGGUUGCUUUUUGAGAUGUACCAUGACAUCUGACACAGUGUAGCUUGUGAGUUCUACAUGGCACCCCAGUUACCUCAUCUCAACUGAGUGGAACUUGGUGGAUAGGCAAAGGCAGGCAGGACAUCGGUCAAGGUGGACCAACAAAGUAUGGCUUUCCCCUGGAGUCCUGAUGUUUGGUGGUCCUCUUGGAAAAUUGGAGGUGCAACUAUAUCAUGCCUCAAUAUUCCUUGGUACUGUGACAUGGAUUUUUAUAUCCGCACCUGCAGAUAUUGGUGUGAUAUUUCAUGAUUAUGUCGACCCAAAGGACUGGUUCAUCCUUAUCAUACCUAUCUAAUAUUGUCUCUAAUGAAUGUUGCAGCUCGAGUACAACACUAUUCAUCAGCAAUCUUUGACAGUCUCUUUAGCAUUUUAGCUUUGCAGAGGUGUUGUAGCGAGGACCGUUCGCCAUGCUGGUAUCGAGUGGUUGAUCAUGCAAGCAACCAAUCUCCCUCAUCCUGCGUGGCUCUCCCACAAACCGCAAACCAUUCAUGUGCUGCUCACAAGGAGAUCAUGCCUACCUCUCGUCCCAUGGUGGCAGGUGGGAGUUGACAUAGAUCACUUUCCAAGAUUUCUGAUGUUUCUGUGGAGUGAAUCAGCACCCAAACAUUUUGUCACCUCUCACCAGCUUGAUGAGUGGGAUUGAUCUAGUGGAUUUCCCAUCCCCCAAACUGGAUAAAGGAAAUCAUAUGUUGAAGACUGUUGAUUGGACUAGAUCAUGAAUGACAUGGAAAGCUUGGUCAUCUACGCAAGAGGAUUGAGUGUUGAUCGCACUAGAUUAUGGUAUUAAGUGAUGCAAACACCUGCAUGCGACAAGUGCCGGAUUUGUUGCAAGGAAUAACAUCACGGAAACAAUUAUUGUGAUGACUACCCAACACCUAAACAGCACACUACUCAUGGCAAAGACUUUUGCGGCUUGGGAUGACGGCCGACCACCUUCAUGUUUAAACUCCUGCUGUGGAAGGAGAUUCUAUCACACAGAUUAUUUAUGUCGAAGAAAAUGGUAUCCAUGUGCCUACCACAUGAUAUUUCUGAGUAUGGUUUACCAUGGAUCAUUGUCGUCGGCAUCAACUUUUGGGACCGCCAUGACCGUCUCCAGAGAUGGACCGUUUGUUUCCCUGUGGAUGUUCGGGCUCAAGAUUAGCUUGUGUCGGUGAGAUUACUGUUUGAGCCCCAGGAAAGUUUCAAGAUUUCCCAACUCCGAGUCGGCUCGACUCCUGCCGUACCACGACGACCAUGACAUCAAGUGGUCCGUGUUGCCAAGUUGAAGUAGAGUACCACCUGCUUGUCAAAAUGCCACAUUGGAACCAUAUGCUACGAGUCCUAUUCACCACUGCAUUAUGGAGCGAACCCGUCCAUGGUGGACGGCCGUCGUGUUGUAAGAGAAACGUUGGAAGAGUCCAACGUGACUGUUCCCUCUCUCUGGAGCCAAUGGAGACUGUACUCUCCACUUCUUCAAGGAUUAGGCAGAGGAGUGAGAUUCGACUCUCCAGGCGCCGAGAAGCUGUGUUCUCUUUGCUAGCUGUGGGAGAGGACUGCACCCAGCAGUCGCACAAGUAAAUAACAGGGUGCAUCUAAUUGAGGUUCUCUUUCCACCUUCUAGUCAUUUUGGAAGUAAGCUGGGGGGGGGGAAGGGGGGGGAGUUGACCUAUGACUUAUGGAGGUCCUACCAUAUCUACAAUAAUUUGCCGAGCUAUUCCCAUCCACCUUCUAUUCCAUGGGAAACCUUAUUUUGGUUAACUCCUGCAAUAAUUGAAGGGAUACCAUUAACUCUGGUACAUCGUCAGGUUUAAGGUCACAUCUAUAGUGGGUGCAUGUUUCGCUUGAUCGAGGAACAGGACAUUUCUCUUGUCGAUAAACGUGCGGCGGCAGACGACCGGUGAUCAUGGCGAAAUCACCCUCGUCACUCACCUUUGUCGUUGUGACAGUUCAUCUUUUGUUCGUUGUCAUCAUUCUCCGUUGUAUGAUUGUAAGUAGCAAGGCUUGUGACAUCCGGGGACUUUCUGCCAUUUGAAACUGCAGCUGCCGAAUUAAGUUCUUGUUGCAAUCAAUUAUUGCACCUUUCGGAAGACGAUAAUAUUUUGUAUGUCAUUUGCCUC